AAGAAACCACCGUUGGCGCUUAAACAUGACCUCACCACUCUUAUAAAUACCGCCCUCUUUCUUCGUCACAUCCUCUUUCCGUUGCUCUUCUCGCUUUGAGAAAUCUCUCCACACGAUGAGAGCCAAGUGGAGGAAGAAGCGUAUGCGCAGGCUGAAGCGUAAAAGGAGAAAGAUGAGGCAGAGGUCCAAGUAAGUCCUCAUCUCCGCCAGCUGCGAUUCCCGUCGGAGCCUCUCCUGAUGACUGACGCGUGUGGCUGAAGUGGAUUGUGGAGCCUUCAUCGGUCGGAUAAAGGCCUCAAACCUGGGUCCAGAUGACUGCACAUCUCAUGGAACCAAUUGUGAACGUCUGACUGGAAGAUGGCAAAGAUGCUGGACUGAGCUUUCAACAUCAGAGCGGCAGCUGUUUUGUUCAUGGACCAUAAAUACAUGUGAUUACCAACAACUGUCAUUUGGUGUAUUGAACAAUAAAUGAACUCUGUUCAAAUUUA
Long non-coding RNA from Scatophagus argus, 488 nucleotides. RefSeq lists it as uncharacterized. The transcript has 4 exons. The record is from RefSeq and is a predicted model, not a curated record. Lineage: Eukaryota; Metazoa; Chordata; Actinopteri; Scatophagidae.